ACUCCUACGGGAGGCAGCAGUGGGGAAUAUUGGGCAAUGGGCGCAAGCCUGACCCAGCAAUGCCGCGUGAAGGAAGAAGGCUUUCGGGUUGUAAACUUCUUUGACAGGGGAGGAGCAGAAGACGGUACCCUGAAAACAAGCCACGGCUAACUACGUGCCAGCAGCCGCGGUAAUACGUAGGGGGCAAGCGUUAUCCGGAUUUACUGGGUGUAAAGGGAGCGUAGGCGGCAUGGCAAGCCAGAUGUGAAAUACCGGGGCUCAACCCCGGGACUGCAUUUGGAACUGUUAAGCUGGAGUGUCGGAGAGGCAGGCGGAAUUCCUAGUGUAGCGGUGAAAUGCGUAGAUAUUAGGAGGAACACCAGUGGCGAAGGCGGCCUGCUGGACGAUAACUGACGUUGAGGCUCGAAAGCGUGGGGAGCAAACAGGAUUAGAUACCCGUGUA
This 442-nucleotide ribosomal RNA is filed under the name uncultured bacterium. RNAcentral's name for it is "bacterial SSU rRNA". It matches the Rfam family "Bacterial small subunit ribosomal RNA", at positions 335 to 792 of the family's 1533-position model. The record is from RNAcentral.